Echinops telfairi (small Madagascar hedgehog) is the source of this 121-nucleotide small nucleolar RNA. The record is from Ensembl. Lineage: Eukaryota; Metazoa; Chordata; Mammalia; Afrosoricida; Tenrecidae.
UCCUUCCAGAUUCCUUCUCUCCCAAACCUGAACAGUGGUCUGAGUGGCUAAAAAAAUAAGGAGGUAAAGUAAAACUGAAAGGGACUUGGCGUCUAGUGUGACAAGUUCAUUUCAAACAAAG